GACGAACGCUGGCGGCGUGCUUAACACAUGCAAGUCGAACGAAGUGGCGAACGGGUGCGUAACGCGUAAUCAAACUGCCCUUCAGAGGGGGACAACAGUUGGAAACGACUGCUAAUACCGCAUACUGAAGGAGGGGAUUGCGUCGGAUUAGCUAGUUGGAGGGGUAACGGCCCACCAAGGCGAUGAACCGUAGCCGGUCUCAUAGUAUGAACUGCCACAUGGGGACUGAGACACGGCCCAGACUCCUACGGAAGGCAGCAGUGGGGAAGCUUCCGCAGUGGACGAAAGUCUGACGGAGCAACGCCGCGUGAGUGAUGACGGCCUGCGGGUUGUAAAGCUCUGUUAAUCGGGACGCGGUACCGGAAUAGAAAGCCACGGCUAACUACGUGCCAGCAGCCGCGGUAAUAC
RNAcentral lists this ribosomal RNA (408 nucleotides) under uncultured bacterium. RNAcentral's name for it is "partial 16S ribosomal RNA". It matches the Rfam family "Bacterial small subunit ribosomal RNA", at positions 28 to 526 of the family's 1533-position model. The record is from RNAcentral.